UACGGAGGGUGCAAGCGUUGUCCGGAUUCAUUGGGUUUAAAGGGUGCGUAGGCGGCUUAUUAAGUCAGUGGUGAAAGCCGGCGGCCCAACUGUCGAACUGCCAUUGAUACUGAUAAGCUUGAGUAUAGUCGAGGUAGGCCGAAUUUAUGGUGUAGCGGUGAAAUGCAUAGAUACCAUAAAGAACACCGAUAGAGAAGACAGUUUACCAGGCUACAACUGACGCUGAGGCAGGAAAGCAUGGGGAUCGAACAGG
This 253-nucleotide ribosomal RNA is filed under the name uncultured bacterium. RNAcentral describes it as "partial 16S ribosomal RNA". It matches the Rfam family "Bacterial small subunit ribosomal RNA", at positions 524 to 776 of the family's 1533-position model. The record is from RNAcentral.